AAGUCGUAACAAGGUCUCCGUAGGUGAACCUGCGGAGGGAUCAUUACACAAAUAUGAAGGCGGGCUGGAACCUCUCGGGGUUACAGCCUUGCUGAAUUAUUCACCCUUGUCUUUUGCGUACUUCUUGUUUCCUUGGUGGGUUCGCCCACCACUAGGACAAACAUAAACCUUUUGUAAUUGCAAUCAGCGUCAGUAACAAAUUAAUAAUUACAACUUUCAACAACGGAUCUCUUGGUUCUGGCAUCGAUGAAGAACGCAGCGAAAUGCGAUAAGUAGUGUGAAUUGCAGAAUUCAGUGAAUCAUCGAAUCUUUGAACGCACAUUGCGCCCUUUGGUAUUCCAAAGGGCAUGCCUGUUCGAGCGUCAUUUGUACCCUCAAGCUUUGCUUGGUGUUGGGCAUCUUGUCUCUAGCUUUGCUGGAGACUCGCCUUAAAGUAAUUGGCAGCCGGCCUACUGGUUUCGGAGCGCAGCACAAGUCGCACUCUCUAUCAGCAAAGGUCUAGCAUCCAUUAAGCCUUUUUUUCAACUUUUGACCUCGGAUCAGGUAGGGAUACCCGCUGAACUUAAGCA
Molecule: ribosomal RNA, 569 nt
Filed under: uncultured fungus
Lineage: Eukaryota; Fungi
Description: eukaryotic LSU rRNA
Rfam family: 5.8S ribosomal RNA (bases 212-365)
Source: RNAcentral